RNAcentral lists this non-coding RNA (26 nucleotides) under Homo sapiens (human). Lineage: Eukaryota; Metazoa; Chordata; Mammalia; Primates; Hominidae. The record is from RNAcentral.
UGCUACGGAUGCUGUAGAUGAUAUGG